RNAcentral lists this unclassified non-coding RNA (4249 nucleotides) under Helicoverpa zea (corn earworm). RNAcentral describes it as "calnexin, transcript variant X3". Lineage: Eukaryota; Metazoa; Arthropoda; Insecta; Lepidoptera; Noctuidae. The record is from RNAcentral.
GAAUAACAUUUCGUGAAAACUUUCAAGCACAUUAUAAUUAAUUUUGAACGCUUCGGAAAAUUCUCGAUCGCUACCUUGACAACUGUUUGUUUUUGAUUGGCUGAAAAUUUUCAGGAAAAUCAAAUUCCUCUGUCUGAGUAAGGAAUUAUUCGAUUUCUGUGCAUUCGUUUAAAUUCUAACAUACAAAGCAAUAAGUGUAUAAAAUAUAUUUAAAGAUGGCUUUAUUUAGCCGUAGAGUAUACCUUUUUGGUGCCUUACUGGUGUUAGUAAGUGCAACGGGUGUGGUGCAUGCCGACAGUGAAGAUGCUGACGACGAAGCUACCGUGGAGACUGUGGAAGAAGAGAACCAGUAUGUUAGUCCUAAAAUAAGUCCAGAAAAAGUGUACCUAGCUGAACACUUUGAUGAUGAGGCCUCCUUUAAGAAGAAAUGGGUGAAGUCUGAAGCCAAGAAACAGGGUGUCGAUGAGAACAUCGCCAAGUAUGAUGGAAAAUGGGAGAUUCAACAACCCAGCAGGAAGAUCUUUAAAGAGGACCUUGGUCUAGUGUUGACCACUGAAGCCAAACAUGCCGCCAUAUCUACCCUGCUUGACAAACCAUUUGAGUUUAAAGAUAAACCAUUCAUUGUUCAAUAUGAAGUCACUAUGCAGGAAGGUCAAAACUGCGGCGGUGCCUACAUUAAGCUUCUCUCCCGUGGUACAAACACUAAGGCUGAUCUUCGCAAAUUUUACGACCAGACGCCCUACACCAUCAUGUUUGGCCCCGACAAGUGUGGCAAUGAUAACAAACUGCACUUCAUCUUCAGACAUAAGAACCCAAAGAACGGAACCAUUGAGGAGAAACAUAGCAAGAAACCUUCUACCCGUCUAGACGACAUCUACAAAGACAAAGAACCUCAUCUAUACACACUGAUUGUCCGUCCGGAUAACACGUUCAGCAUACAGAUAGACAAUAAGGAGGUGAACUCUGGCUCUCUACUGGAUGACUUCACUCCCCCUGUAAACCCACCAGAAGAGAUUGAUGACCCCAAUGAUAAGAAGCCUGAGGAUUGGGAUGAGAGGGAAAAGAUUGUGGACCCAUCAGCAACUAAGCCGGAGGACUGGGACGAGGAUGCGCCCGCGCAGAUCAUCGACCCAAACGCUGUCAAACCUGACGGCUGGCUCGACGAUGAACCUGAAAUGAUUCCUGAUCCUGAAGCCAAGAAACCUGAAGACUGGGACGAGGAAAUGGACGGAGAAUGGGAAGCGCCUCUUAUUGACAACCCCAAGUGUGCUGCAGCGGCCGGCUGCGGUGAAUGGAAACCACCCACCAUACCCAAUCCUAACUAUAAGGGCAUCUGGCGGGCGCCGCUGGUCACGAACCCCAACUACCGCGGCAAGUGGACGCCGCGCCGCAUCCCCAACCCGCACUACUUCAAGGACGAUCACCCAUUCCGGAUGACGCCUAUUCACGCGGUAGGCUUCGAGCUGUGGUCGAUGUCGCCGAUGCUGCUGUUCGACAACCUCAUCAUCACGGACGACGUCGCCGUCGCCGACCAGUGGGCACGGGACACAUUCGUGCUCAAGAAGGCUAAGAUCUCUAGGGAUUCUGACUCUGUAGUGGACCGCGCUCUGAAGUACGCGGGCGACAACCCGUGGGUGUACGCAGUGGUUAUCAUCGGCUCCUUCCUAUUGGUCGGACUUAUUGCGUACGCGUGCUUUGGAUCUAAAUCGGACGUGGAAGCUGACAUAAAGAAGACAGACGCAGUGGCUGAAGACGACCCUCACCAGUCUGAUGCUGAGGAGGAGUCUCGCGAGGAGUUAGAGCGUCCCAGCAAGGCGGACCUCGAGGGACCCACCGCUGACGUGGAACCAGAAAACCUCGUUACCUCUACUGAAGACACUACUCCACUAGUGGACACAGACGGCGCCGGCGACGGUCAGAGGAAACGCAAGCCUCGUAAGGAGUAAUACGUGAGCGUUGUAUAGUUCAAAUGUAACGUGUGUGUGUGUGUGUGUGUGUGUGUGUGUGUGUGUGUGUGUGUGGCUGUAGCGAUGUGUGCGGGGACGUGACGUCAUCACGCGUCUGCGGCGGUAGGUUACUUGUGUGUUGAGCUCGGAAUUCAAAUUUGGAAUUAUUUUAUAUUUUUAUUAAGAAGUAUUACACGAAAAGGUUGUUAUGCUAUUGCGGAACUCAUUAGUAAAGGACCAAAGAGUGUGUGAAGGAAGACCAAAGUUAGUUUGAUAAAAUAACAUGCUGCUAUAAUUCUAAACACAUAUUUUUUUCUUAACAUCUGUAAUUUAUGGAGUACAUUUAUUUGUUUCUGUAUGUAUGUUAAUAUAUUUAACUUAAAGUACCUAUUUAGCCUGUGAAAAAGUCAUAAUAGAAAAUUAUACGGUGUUUUGAGCUGACUCAACAUACAAGUGUGUAUCUGCCUCCUCUGGACUCUUUCUUUUAUGUAGUUAAGCUAUAUUAUUAGACUAAUAUAUUAUAGAAAAUUAUAUUCUCGUCUGUCUUUCUUGCCCGUAAAACUUAUUAUUUCGCGGUUUCCUUCUAUUUAAGGACUUAAUAAUAACUUCUUGGUAUUUAUAGAAAUAUGGUAUAUCAUAAUAAUAUUCUACUAUUUUUACAUACAAUAGGAAUGUCGAAGGUAUUAUAUUUAAUAGUGUUUAGUAGAUAGAGUAGAGCAAUAAUUUAUUCGAGCAAAUAAGGUAUAUUGUGGGACGAAUUUACAUCAAGUAUGUCAUAUUUUCUCCAUGUUGUUUAGUAUUACGAACAUAAUAUUCUGAUUGAACUUACUGGCUUAAUGUGCGCGUUGUAAUGUAUAGGAUAUUUUAAAACAAGCUGUUAUUAUUUCGUCUUCACAGUACAAAAUAAAUUCAUGUGUAUUUUUCCUAUUGUGUACUGCCAAAGAACUUCAGCGUCUCUUUAUUUUAACAUGUGACCAAUAAUGUAGUGAACAAAUGUUGAAAGAACUUACGUUGCAUUUUUAUAUUAUACACUGUAUGAUAUUGAUAAAGUAUUUAUUUCAUAUCGGUACAGUCGUCUACGGAAGCGGUUUGUCACUUAACUUCCACCUUUGUCACAAUUUCACUUUUCACAUGUUCUGUUUUCGACUGUACUCUGAAAACAUGUCCGCAUUGCGUGUUCAUUCAUUUUUGUUAUGAAUUUCGUUCAUAAAUGUUAUACAUGAUACUUUUAUGUGGAAUAUAAUAUAAUAAAAUAUGUGGAAUAAGUAGUUUAAUUUUUGUAUUUUUUUCGUUGGCACGUUGUGGGUCCCGUAUGAGAGGUUUAUCUGUAUAUAAUUUGUCGGCUUAUUAUAUUAUUAGUGAAUUCUGAAGAUUUUUGUGCGACAAUUUCUUUUACAUUUUACUUAUGACUAUGUACAUUUAGAUAGAAACACAUUGCUUAUUAUCGAGUAUUAACUUCGUCGUAUUGUGUAAUAUACUUGAAUUUUCACUCGUAUAUAUUUGUCUUAGGAUCGUGCUCAUGCUGUGCUCGAUUUAUGAGUUAACAAUAAAGUACAACACUUAUUAUAUUUUUUGUAAUUCUUAUUUACCCGUAGCAGGAUAACACUGCUAAAUAGGUUCCUUCUAAUAAUAACAUUAAAUCGGCGAUACAGUCAAAUUCUCCAUUUAUGACGAGGUUUCUUAUUUUGAUAUACCAAGACCUCGUAAAUUUCGAUACUUGAACAAAAUAUUAUUGAACAAUAUUUUUUAUUGCUUCACAUAUUAUACACUAAUUUAAAAGAAAUGAGCACGAUCCGAAAGUGCUUUGGACUCACAGCCAUCCUAAAUGUUUCAAGUAACUUUCGUUUAGCAGGUUUACCUAAAUUUAUAUCAAUAAGGCCCUUAACUCGUAUUAAAUAAAAAGAUUCAUAAUUAUUGUGGUCAUACAUAGUUAAAAUAUUAAAGGGCAAUGUCUUAGCGUAAUUUAUUUACAAGGUCGAUUGUCAAAACUAUCACCAGUGUCGCGUGUUUACAAAUUAAAAAAAAGUAGUUAAAUAAAAAUAUGCAGGUAUUUUUUAAUAUUUAUUUUUCACAUUCCAAUCUUUAUUUUUAUGGCAGUAAGAUGCAUUUUUGAAAGGUUUUUUUGUAUGAGUUUCUAAGCUGUGAGUCCAAAUGUUUUUCAAACACGACGGUUAUUUAGGGCAGCUGUAUAAUUAUAAAUAACGCUUUAGUCUCGAUGCUUUUAUUUUCCUAAGUACGACUCUGUGUGAUACGUGAAGUUAAUGGACUGUAAUUUAUAUGGAUAAUAAACUGAAUUAUUUGUA